RNAcentral lists this long non-coding RNA (2262 nucleotides) under Bemisia tabaci. RNAcentral's name for it is "lncRNA ENSSSA3NGG011918". Lineage: Eukaryota; Metazoa; Arthropoda; Insecta; Hemiptera; Aleyrodidae. The record is from RNAcentral.
AAGUGCUCUCUGGAAGUAAUUCUUAAGGGAGAGGAGUAUUUACUGGGACCUCAUUUGUGUUAUAUACGAUGGUGGAAGCUGUGCAUGGUGACAUGGUGGCUGUGAUGAUGUGUGGAAACAACAUACGUAUCAAUUGAUUCAUGUAUAAUGACAGUUAUAAUCUUGUUAAAUCUAGAAUUCCGCUGUCGCCUAAGAAGUUGGCCAAGGCAGAAUACGGAAUCAAAGCAAAAAGGGAGACUCCGUUUAUGUACGAAAUCUUGCCAUGAGCAUUUUUUCUCCAGAAGUAUUGAUCAAGCCUCCCAGGGUUGGGUCGAUAAUUUCAAGAGAAAGUACAAAAUUCGGCAAAGAAAGGUAACGCGGUACCUCAAAUCUAAAAACGAACUCGAUGAUGAGGAAAUUGUUGUGCGCGCUGUCUCUUACAUGCUCGAGGCAAAAGACUUGGCAAGGCAAUACAAUCCGUAAUUCGUGCUCAACAGUGAUCAGACGGGGUGCGAAUAUCGUUUUAAAGUUGAUCGGACCCUCUCAAACCAGGGGGAAAAAAGUACAGAGAUGUUUUUGGGCAACUUAACAAGGUGACCCACUCUUACACGGCCCAGUACUGCAUGACGGCAUCAGGAAAACUUUUGCCAAAGGUAUUUUAGUGUAUGCAGGAGAGAGACUAUAAGUUCGGGCCUCUCGUUCAAAAGAAAAUCGACGAUCUCGCGAAAAGGCUACGCAAUGUCUACGUUACAUCUUCAAAAUCGGGCAAUGUUCAUCGGUGACUGGACUUGGAUGUACUAUUGUACUGCCAAAGAGGACUCCAUCCCACGUUCCCCAUUGCCACUGAUUGGGAUGCAAUAUCUUUCAAGUACAUAACUAUUCCUCUAACUUUUCCCCUCAUUUUGGAAACAAAGAGCUUUUUAAUCACAAAGAAAAACAAAGCUAAAAUAUGAAAGGAGGGGGACGUUGCAAUAUUCGGACUUUUGCAUUUUAAUUUAGGAAGAGUUAAUGUAUUUUGCUUUCUAUUCUCCUUUAAACCCUUCCUGCCUUUGGGUCUCAAUAAUGGGGGAAAAAUCUAUGAAUAAACUUUGAGUUUAUGGUAUUCUUAUUGUAACCAUUAAUACUCUGAAAAAUGCUAGGGUUAUGCGUUAUUUUCUUAAUAAUUUUCCUCCAAUGAAUAAACUGAAGUAAUGGGACUUCUAGAAAUGUUUCUAGCAGUUGAUAGGUUUCUCAAUCAUUAUUCCUUGGACUGAAAAACUUUGACAGGAGCAGGCCGCCGACAUAAGGGGGGGGGGGGUUGCCGGGACUCCAGCCCCGGGGCCCGGUAGGGCUGCCCAGAAGCACAAAAGUUUCCAUUUGUAUUACCAAUCUGCCGGCAAAAGUCAAAUAAUUUUGUAGCUUGAGAUUUUGCUCGAAGCCCAGACAGCCUUGCGUUGGCCCCUGGGAUAGGCAAUCCUUUGCCAAAACUUUGUCUCCAUCUAAUUUCAGAUGUAUAUUUUUUGUGCAAUAAGCUGAAUUUUUAAUAUGUUUUUAUCCCUUCUAUUUUCCUUUUCUUUCAUCAAAGGUAAAAUUUUACACAAGUCAGAACUGAUUCAAUAGUUAUAGUUCACUUUAGGUAUUAAAGACCUUUUAAGUUUAAAAUGAUUUUUUUUCUAUAUAUAUACGUCCAAUGUUGUUUUUUUCAUAGCGGCUCAUUACAAAUUUUCAAACAACUGCAAUUAUUCUGAGAUUUUGAAAGGGCAAAAAUCUUGCAUAAACUGAUCUGAAUAAGUGCGGAAACAGCAUGAAAUUACUCAGAUUGGAGGCAAAAUUUUAAAAAAAUUUCGGGGGUGGCCCUCCCAAACCCCCCUCCUGCUGGGGGCGGUCCCCCAGACCCCCUUAAAUAGUUUACUAAAGGGGGCCUCGCUGACUGAUCCCGCCCCGGGGCCCACCAAUGGAUGUAGGGGGCCUGGACAGGAGGAUGUUCAUCCUAUUAAAGACAAAAUUAAACCUAAAAUCUCUUAUUCCAUUUUGCUUAAAACAAGAGGCGAAUUGUUUGGACCCUGUACCUUCGACCUGAGACAAGUAACUAAUUUUUUGUUUACAAAUGAUUUGUUUCAAAAUGUUUUGAUGAGCGGGCCAAGAAAGAAUUCCCGGCCCCUGACAAAGACGCCCUUGGAAUGAGGAAGAAACAGAUAAACACGAUCCUCGCGCAUAAAAUCAAAGAGGAGAGAAAGAAAUACUUUGACUAAGUUUAAAUUGUAUUACAGUAAAGUUUGUAUAGAUUUGUUCAUUAUUUUGUGU